RNAcentral lists this ribosomal RNA (443 nucleotides) under uncultured bacterium. RNAcentral describes it as "partial 16S ribosomal RNA". It matches the Rfam family "Bacterial small subunit ribosomal RNA", at positions 338 to 795 of the family's 1533-position model. The record is from RNAcentral.
CCUACGGGAGGCAGCAGUGGGGAAUAUUGGGCAAUGGGCGCAAGCCUGACCCAGCAACGCCGCGUGAAGGAAGAAGGCCCUCGGGUUGUAAACUUCUUUUGUCAGGGACGAAGAAAGUGACGGUACCUGACGAGUAAGCCACGGCUAACUACGUGCCUGCAGCCGCGGUAAUGCGUAGGUGGCAAGCGUUAUCCGGAUUCACUGGGGGUAAAGGGCGUGUAGGCGGGACUGCAAGUCAGAUGGGAAAUUCCAGGGGUCAACCCUGGAACCGCCUUUGAAACUGUAGUUCUUGAGUGAUGGAGGGGCAGGCGGAAUUCCGUGUGUAGCGGUGAAAUGCGUAGAUAUACGGAGGAACACCAGUGGCGAAGGCGGCCUGCUGGACCUUAACUGACGCUGAGGCGCGAAAGCGUGGGGAGCGAACAGGAUUAGAUACCCCAGUAGUC